AAGCAGUUGGUUCAUGUUGUCCACUCCCUCUGAAUCUUUCACAUAAUUGGGUCUCAUUUCCCUAAAUGAAUAAAAUCUGCUACACCCCUCUGCAUGUGCAAGGUCAGCAGAUGUAUACUCAAAUCUGCCCCUCCCUUCUAAGUUCAUGAAUAUUUCAUGUUAUGUGAAGGAAAAAGAAAGACAAAGGGGGGUGUAGCCAAUCAAAUAACCCUGGGGACAGUCAGGCGUUGUAGCCCCCUCCUCAUUGCCACAUACACACGCAUAAGGCAGAACCUGCUGCUUCAUCCACCCACACAGACAGACUGAUACUUUCUCAUUCAGCUCCCGUGUCCAUACACUGCAUCACGUCCAAAAAAACAUGGCUGACAAACCCAACAUGACAGAAAUCACAUCUUUUGAUAAAACUAAACUCAGGAAGACAGAGACCCAAGAAAAGAAUCCAUUGCCAACCAAAGAAACUAUUGAACAGGAGAGACAAGGAGAGUCCACACCAUGAAUGAUGUUUGUAACUGAAGUCACACAGCAGACAGAAGUGAAUGGCUGAGAUGAGCAGAGAAGAGACUUUGAGAGGAAUCGAACUAGUAACUGAUGUGUAAUUGGUUUUAUAUAUUUGUUUGUUUGUUCGAGAAUGAAAUAAAAAUGUACGAAUGUGUUUCAUCGAGUGCAGCCAGACAACCAAUAAAUGAAUUUGACAACA
This is an RNA transcript of Megalobrama amblycephala (Wuchang bream), 697 nucleotides long. It is a transcript of the gene named thymosin, beta, with no coding region annotated. The record is from RefSeq and is a predicted model, not a curated record. Lineage: Eukaryota; Metazoa; Chordata; Actinopteri; Cypriniformes; Xenocyprididae. The transcript is spliced from 4 exons.